Molecule: ribosomal RNA, 492 nt
Filed under: uncultured bacterium
Lineage: Bacteria
Description: partial 16S ribosomal RNA
Rfam family: Bacterial small subunit ribosomal RNA
Source: RNAcentral
AGUGAACGCUGGCGAUAGGCCUAACACAUGCAAGUCGAACGGCAGCACAGUAAGAGCUUGCCCUUACGGGUGGCGAGUGGCGGACGGGUGAGGAAUACAUCGGAAUCUACUUUUUCGUGGGGGAUAACGUAGGGAAACUUACGCUAAUACCGCAUACGACCUACGGGUGAAAGCAGGGGAUCUUCGGACCUUGCGCGAUUGAAUGAGCCGAUGUCGGAUUAGCUAGUUGGCGGGGUAAAGGCCCACCAAGGCGACGAUCCGUAGCUGGUCUGAGAGGAUGAUCAGCCACACUGGAACUGAGACACGGUCCAGACUCCUACGGGAGGCAGCAGUGGGGAAUAUUGGACAAUGGGCGCAAGCCUGAUCCAGCCAUACCGCGUGGGUGAAGAAGGCCUUCGGGUUGUAAAGCCCUUUUGUUGGGAAAGAAAAGCAGCAGGUUAAUACCCCGCUGUUCUGACGGUACCCAAAGAAUAAGCACCGGCUAACUUCGUG